RNAcentral lists this ribosomal RNA (490 nucleotides) under uncultured bacterium. Its description in RNAcentral is "partial 16S ribosomal RNA". It matches the Rfam family "Bacterial small subunit ribosomal RNA", at positions 30 to 507 of the family's 1533-position model. The record is from RNAcentral.
AUUGAACGCUGGCGGCAGGCCUAACACAUGCAAGUCGAACGGUAACAGGGAACAGCUUGCUGUUUCGCUGACGAGUGGCGGACGGGUGAGUAAUGUCUGGGAAACUGCCUGAUGGAGGGGGAUAACUACUGGAAACGGUAGCUAAUACCGCAUAACGUCGCAAGACCAAAGAGGGGGACCUUCGGGCCUCUUGCCAUCGGAUGUGCCCAGAUGGGAUUAGCUAGUAGGUGGGGUAACGGCUCACCUAGGCGACGAUCCCUAGCUGGUCUGAGAGGAUGACCAGCCACACUGGAACUGAGACACGGUCCAGACUCCUACGGGAGGCAGCAGUGGGGAAUAUUGCACAAUGGGCGCAAGCCUGAUGCAGCCAUGCCGCGUGUAUGAAGAAGGCCUUCGGGUUGUAAAGUACUUUCAGCGGGGAGGAAGGGAGUAAAGUUAAUACCUUUACUCAUUGACGUUACCCGCAGAAGAAGCACCGGCUAACUCCGUG